UUUCGAUGGUAGGAUAGAGGCCUACCAUGGUGGUAACGGGUAACGGGGUGUUAGGGCACGACACCGGAGAGGGAGCCUGAGAAACGGCUACCACAUCCAAGGAUGGCAGCAGGCGCGCAAAUUACCCAAUCCCGACACGGGGAGGUAGUGACAAUAAAUAACAAUACGGGGUUCUUUAGGAUCUCGUAAUUGGAAUGAGUACAAUUUAAAUCUCUUAACGAGGAACAAUUGGAGGGCAAGUCUGGUGCCAGCAGCCGCGGUAAUUCCAGCUCCAAUAGCGUAUAUUAAAGUUGUUGCAGUUAAAAAGCUCGUAGUUGAAUUUCGGGGUUAGUAGGUUGGUCAUGCCUCUGGUAUGUACUGGUCUCACUGAUUCCUCCUUCCUGAUGAGCCGUAAUGCCAUUAAUUUGGUGUUGCGGGGAAUUUGGACUGUUACUUUGAAAAAAUUAGAGUGUUUAAAGCAAGCUAACGCUUGAAUACAUUAGCAUGGAAUAAUGAAAUAGGACGUUCGAUCCUAUUUUGUUGGUUUCUAGGAUUGACGUAAUGAUUAAUAGGGAUAGUUGGGGGCAUUAGUAUUCAAUUGUCAGAGGUGAAAUUCUUGGAUUUAUUGAAGACUAACUACUGCGAAAGCAUUUGCCAAGGAUGUUUUCAUUAAUCAAGAACGAAAGUUAGGGGAUCGAAGACGAUCAGAUACCGUCGUAGUCUUAACCAUAAACUAUGCCGACUAGGGAUCGGAUGAUGUUAAUUUUUUAAUGACUCAUUCGGCGCCUUACGGGAACA
This 777-nucleotide ribosomal RNA is filed under the name uncultured Rhizophagus. RNAcentral's name for it is "SSU rRNA". It matches the Rfam family "Eukaryotic small subunit ribosomal RNA", at positions 320 to 1098 of the family's 1831-position model. Lineage: Eukaryota; Fungi; Glomeromycota; Glomeromycetes; Glomerales; Glomeraceae. The record is from RNAcentral.